This is a long non-coding RNA of Anarrhichthys ocellatus (wolf-eel), 3748 nucleotides long. RefSeq lists it as uncharacterized. NCBI's taxonomy places the organism in Eukaryota, Metazoa, Chordata, Actinopteri, Perciformes, Anarhichadidae. The transcript has 2 exons. The record is from RefSeq and is a predicted model, not a curated record.
GGCUGAGGCUGAGGCUGAAGCUGAGGCUGAGGCUGAAGCUGAGGCUGAGGCGGCUAAAAAGCCAUAGCGGAGUGGACGAUAGCCGAUUGUGGUUUUGCUCAACAAAAUAAAUAAAAUACAUGUUGAGGUGUGAGUUGUCGCAGUAAAGUGAUAUUGGCUGUCGUGUGAUUUUUUUUUAAAUUUUUUUCCUCAGAUCCUUAAAUCGUCCAGCGCUCAGUCACCAAUCAAGGAGCGCAGCCGGGGGAAAUCCUUAUCGCCGCGUCGACGACAGAGCAGUCCCCAUCGUCGCUUCACACACCGCAGAGACAAAUCGCCGGCCUCGGUGGAGAGGAAACCUCCGGAGCUCAGCACUCUCAACGACGGCUACCAGAUCCGUAUCUGAUCCCUUCUUCACCUCCCAGUCUUCCUAAAUCCGUCCACGCUUCGCAGUCACCCUGAUCCCCCGAAACAACAAGGAGUCUCUACCUGCCACCCACGUCUUUCAGGAGACGAGUCACUGCAGCAGCUGGAGCGAUUACUCACAGAACCAGGUGGAUGAUGAACACGUGUUCUGAGCUGGAACAGCAAGAACUUCUUAGAAGCAGAGACUGGGACAAUGAACCCAUGACCACAGAGUCCUGACACCAGACAAGGUAGUGUGGAGAGAAACAGCAGACACGUGUUUAUUAAUGCUUUUGGCCUGUUAUCGUGUAAAAUCAGCACUUAUCAUAACGCCGCUUCUACAGCACAAUUUCCCCGACAGAGAAUCUGAGCAGUUGAUAUCUCCUGUCGGGGACGACUUUCCAGGUUUCCCAACAUGGCGGCUACAGGGAGACGGAUAGGAAGGAAGCACCGUCACAGGUGUAGGUGUGGUUAUCCCACUUUAUCCUCACGCUUUGGCUUCAUCUGUACGAGAAAGUUCACUGAAGGAGUGUUCAGAAGAGGUGUUUCACUCGUGAACCCGACGGCCGAGCAGACUUCCAUUAAUCAGAGCGGACGAGCGUGGAAUCAGGAGAGGACGAUCGAUAGAGUAUGCGGGGAAAUCAAAGACACGGAGUCGAUGGAGGGGAGAGGAAAGGGAAGGAGGAGAGGAGAGGUGGGCGAGGGGUGAGAGGAGAAGAGGCUGCAGGAGAUCAGUGAACGAUCAUUAGAGCACUGCAGCAAACCUCCUGCCCCCCCCCCCCCCCCCACACUCUCAGUCUCCUCUUCCUCUGCCCUCUGUUGACUCAUAACUGAAUACAUCACACAGCUCUGUGAACAUCAGGAAGAAAACCCUCAAACUCCGUCUCCAAUGCAGAUGUUCAGAAGUUAGCGGUCGCCACAGAGAGGCUGUUACUGAUAUCAUAUAUCCAGAUAACAACAUCAAGUCCACAUCGAUUCCUUUUAUUUAUUGUGUAACUGCAAGAGAAACACAUCUGUUGUUUGAUUAAUGGGAUGACAAAGAUGCUUUUCUUUUUUAAAAACAAAACAAGUGUUUCAGACGUUCACCUCUUCAGGCCUCUAGAAGUCACUGUUUUAGUCAAACUGUUCCUUUGAUGAAAACGUCAAAAGGUUGUGAAGGAGAAGUCGUUGGGACGUAAGAAGAAGAAUCCGACUGCUUUACACGUUUUAUUAUUAUUUAUUCAUAACACUCCGAGAAUGUACAAUUCGAGUCAGGAGUCCUGUCCAAAACAGAAUGAAAUGUUGCUGCCGCAAGGAAUUGUGGGACGGCAUCAUCUACUCUUCUUUAGUGAAGGAUCCUUCAGCGUUCCCUCUGCUAAAGGAGAUGAGAAAGGAAGCAUCAAAGCAUCCUUUUCUGAGCAUUUAGAGCUCUUAUCAUGGCUGCCACUUAGAUACUUCCAGCUCAUUUCACUCAAAAAGACUAUUGGACUGCAGCCGUGGUUUUAUCUGAUGGGGUCACAAGGGGGGGGGACAUUGGGAACCACUCAUCCGAACUAGUUGAUUCUAGAGGCCUCAGCAAGUGUCCAGUAUUACAUAAGAAAUAAGCCAAUAUUAGAAAAAGAACAGGAAAAAUAUAUAUAUUUUGUCUUUCUCGUCCCUUUAAUCACCUUGUGGUCGCUCAGAUUUGAUAAAUACGAGUGUAGACAGUAACUGUUAUGAGCAAGGAAAAAAUCAAAGAUCUUAGAUACCUACGACUGAAACGUAGAUAAAACCGCCUCAGUCACAAGACAGUAAAUUGAGCGGUCAGCAUGUUUUGGGUUAAACUUCAAAUACUCUGAUCUCACAAAACCUGAAAUAGUAUCUCUAGUAUUUCCAAACAUCUUCGUAUGUGUUGACUAAACCGUCGUGUUCACACAGUAAACUAACGUACUGUUAAACAGCUGUUCCACCAACAGCUGGAUUAUCAAAUGAUUGCAGCCACUUUGUCCAAUCAGAGGAACGAGGAGUGAAGGCAGAGUGAACACUUUGUAACAACGGCUUCUUUCAGGACAGAUGUAACACGCUGUCACACGCUGUCAGCGGAUAUUAAAGGACGGCAAAGUCGGGACCUUUAGAGAGAUCGAGGAUGAUGGUUGGGUCACAGCAAUGACAGAAAGUACUCCUGUUAUUGAGAUUCGUCAUGUUUUAAUCUCAACGCUUAAUGCCUUUCGGUUGAAUUCUGCAACAUCCGCUCUGCUUUGUGUUCGACAACCUUAAAAUGUCAACAAAAAACAAGUCACCCGUUGUGUUAAUGCAGUUUUUCAUUCAGUAACUCAUAUUCUCAGUUCGUCGCAGGAGACGAAUACGAGUCAGGAGACCACGGAAGUUCUCAGAGCAGCUUCUGCUCCGAGUGCCGUAUGUACGCGCCGUAUGUACGCGCCGUAUGUACGCGCCGUAUGUACGCGCCGCUUAUGUAUGUAACCUUUUUUUUGGAUUCUCCUGUUGAGGCCUUUUUGAUGAAUCCCAGCAGAGAAGCUUGAAGUCUCACGUGACGUUGUCCAGUGCGAUCUUCAGCUGAUUUAUAGCCACUCUGAUACAAACAGAUGUUGAACACAUGCGGUAUGAAUGUACGUGCGUCUACGUUUAUCCACGUACAGUUUGAAGCCUUCAGACUGAGAAGUGUGUGAGUCAGUGUGAAACAGAAACAUAUGCUGCUGAGGACGACCACAGCCCUCCACCGCUGGCCCCCGAUCAGCUCUAGAGUCACAGAAUGAACGGGUCGGAUGCCUUGCUCAAUGGCAUCUUGAGGGCAGCAGAAGUAAAAUGGGUGCUUUUAUUCAGAAUAAAUCCGUGUUUUGAAAAAAAAGCAACUUUCACUUGCUCUCCUGCUUCCAACUGUCUGCUUUUAGUGUACUUGAAAAGCUAUGACCACUGACUCGAGUGCAAAGAUUAUCUCUGUUCUAAUAAGCGGCACCAGGCAUCUGUAGUCUAGUGGCCGUGAGAGAGCAGCAAGACGUAAUGAAAGUCCUGCAGCAGCUUCUGGGAGCGAGAAACUGAAGACGGCGUCCUAUUUAAAGGCACUCCGGUGUUGUUUGGCCACUAGUAGCGCUAUAGAGCAAUGUGUGGGAGCCCAUCUUUAUUAUCCCGUGUUUCCUGGUCACUUUUGCCACCAGGUGGUUUUCUUCAUUUCCUCAAGAACGUAGAUGAGUUGUGUUUUCACAAAUGCCCGGUGCAGCUUUAACUCUAUAUCUAAUGGAGCAAAGAUAAUCUUCCAUAGCUGUAACGUUCAGUGAGGAACACGAGCAGCCUCAUUUUACUUUGGUGCUUCGUUCAGUCUGUGUACUGAUUGUUUCAGAACGUUAUCAGUUCAUUGUUUUAUCACUUCUUCUUCUUUCCGCCUGUGUUUUGA